GUCCCUGUAGCGCAAUGGAUAGCGCGUUGGACCUCUAAUCCAAAGGUCGUGGGUUCGAAUCCCACCUGGGAUG
RNAcentral lists this transfer RNA (73 nucleotides) under Trichonephila inaurata madagascariensis. It matches the Rfam family "tRNA". Rfam says of the family: Transfer RNA (tRNA) molecules are approximately 80 nucleotides in length. Their secondary structure includes four short double-helical elements and three loops (D, anti-codon, and T loops). Lineage: Eukaryota; Metazoa; Arthropoda; Arachnida; Araneae; Nephilidae. The record is from Rfam by way of RNAcentral.